Long non-coding RNA from Homo sapiens (human), 2158 nucleotides. The record is from Ensembl. NCBI's taxonomy places the organism in Eukaryota, Metazoa, Chordata, Mammalia, Primates, Hominidae.
AGUUGCUCUCCUGGAUGGCUUUAUGUCUCCGCGGUGUUUCCUAGAGUCUCGGCGUUUCUACCUCUUCGCACCCUUUCCUGCCACCCUUUGUCCCCUGGAAGCCCGGAGACAUCAGCGGCUGCAAUUUUGCUACUCGCUGCUCGGCGUGGAACUGUCAGGACAAAAAAUAAUAUCCAAAGAUAUUUUGGCACUAACGGCGCUAUCUGUAGCAAGAAAGUUGAGCAGUGUGAACUGUUGAGACUUCCAAGGAGACUUCAGACAACCAAGACAGUGUAAAGGAAAACAGAGAAAAAGACUUGUUAGACAUUAUUAAGGGCACGAAAGUUGAAUUGAGCACAGUAAAUGUACAAACAACAAAGCCACCCAACAGAAGUUCACUUAAAAGCUACAACUGGCGGGCCUCAAAGAGCUUUAGGACAUGCUCCAAAGAAGAGAAAUGAGCCCCUGAGUCCUGAGUUGGUGGCAGCUGCAUCUGCUGCUCUGUUUUGACAAGCAAACAAGCCAGAACUGCUCAGGCAGCUCCGUAGCAUGAGGAAGAGUCAGGGGCACAGAGAGAUGGAGAGAGACCUAGUUAGGAAAAAUAUAUUCAGGGGGAAGAGAUGUAAUAGAUUUCACAUUAUGGCAGUUACUAAAGAAGCACGUGAACAGACACAUCACCUUCACUUUGGGAUAUGGAAUUUGAUAAGCAGUUAGCCACAGAAUAUGAACAACCCCUUGAGAAUGAGAUUGAAGAACUGAUCCAGGGGACAAAAGAGGGGAAACUGAGAGUUCCCAAUUAAUAAUGAAGCAGCUUCAUAUCUAAGAUCUCUGGUGGACUUUUUCUGCCCGUGGACGCCGCUGAAGAAGCAUCGUUAAAGUCUCUCUUCACCUUGCCGUCAUGUCUAAGUCAGCGUCUCCAAAAGAGCCCGAACAGCUGAGGAAGCUCUUCAUUGGAGGGUUGAGCUUUGAAACAACUGAUGAGAGCCUGAGGAGCCAUUUUGAGCAAUGGGGAACGCUCACAGACUGUGUGGUAAUGAGAGAUCCAAACACCAAGCGCUCCAGGGGCUUUGGGUUUGUCACAUAUGCCACUGUGGAGGAGGUGGAUGCAGCUAUGAAUACAACGCCACACAAGGUGGAUGGAAGAGUUGUGGAACCAAAGAGAGCUGUCUCCAGAGAAGAUUCUCAAAGACCAGGUGCCCACUUAACUGUGAAAAAGAUAUUUGUUGGUGGCAUUAAAGAAGACACUGAAGAACAUCACCUAAGAGAUUAUUUUGAACAGUAUGGAAAAAUUGAAGUAAUUGAAAUCAUGACUGACCGAGGCAGUGGCAAGAAAAGGGGCUUUGCCUUUGUAACCUUUGACGACCAUGACUCCGUGGAUAAGAUUGUCAUUCAGAAAUACCAUACUGUGAAGGGCCACAACUGUGAAGUUAGAAAAGCCCUGCCAAAGCAAGAGAUGGCUAGUGCUUCAUCCAGCCAAAGAGGUCGAAGGGGUUCUGGAAACUUUGGUGGUGGUCGUGGAGAUGGUUUCGGUGGGAAUGACAACUUUGGUCGUGGAGGAAACUUCAGUGGUCGUGGUGGCUUUGGUGGCAGCUGUGGUGGUGGUGGAUAUGGUGGCAGUGGGGAUGGCUAUAAUGGAUUUGGUAAUGAUGGAAGCAAUUUUGGAGGUGGUGGAAGCUACAAUGAUUUUGGCAAUUACAACAAUCAGUCUUCAAAUUUUGGACCCAUGAAGGGAGGAAAUUUUGGAGGCAGAAGCUCUGGCCCCUAUGGCGGUGGAGGCCAAUACUUUGCAAAACCACAAAACCAAGGUGGCUAUGGCGUUUCCAGCAGCAGCAGUAGCUAUGGCAGUGGCAGAAGAUUUUAAUUAGGAAACAAAGCUUAGCAGGAGAGGAGAGCCAGAGAAGUGACAGGGAAGCUACAGGUUACAACAGAUUUGUGAACUCAGCCAAGCACAGUGGUGGCAGGGCCUAGCUGCUACAAAGAAGACAUGUUUUAGACAAAUACUCAUGUGUAUGGGCAAAAAACUCGAGGACUGUAUUUGUGACUAAUUGUAUAACAGGUUAUUUUAGUUUCUGUUCUGUGGAAAGUGUAAAGCAUUCCAACAAAGUGUUUUAAUGUAGAUUUUUUUUUUUGCACCCAUGCUGUUGAUUGCUAAAUGUAAUAGUCUGAUUGUGACGCUGAA